CCUACGGGGGGCAGCAGUGAGGAAUAUUGGUCAAUGGCCGUAAGGCUGAACCAGCCAAGUAGCGUGAGGGAAGACUGCCCUAUGGGUUGUAAACCACUUUUAUGCGGGGAUAAAGGUGUCCACGUGUGGAUGUUUGCAGGUACCGCAUGAAUAAGGACCGGCUAAUUCCGUGCCAGCAGCCGCGGUAAUACGGAAGGUCCGGGCGUUAGCCGGAUUUAUUGGGUUUAAGGGGGGCGUAGGCGGGUCUUUAAGCGUGCCGGGAAAUUUUGUGGCUCAACCAUGAGAGUGCGGCGCGAACUGGAGACCUUGAGUGCGCGGAAGGCAGGCGGAAUGCGUGGUGUAGCGGUGAAAUGCUUAGAUAUCACGAAGAACCCCGAUUGCGAAGGCAGCCUGCCGCAGCGUUACUGACGCUGAAGCUCGAAAGCGCGGGUAUCGAACAGGAGUAGAUACCCUAGUAGUC
Molecule: ribosomal RNA, 460 nt
Filed under: uncultured bacterium
Lineage: Bacteria
Description: partial 16S ribosomal RNA
Rfam family: Bacterial small subunit ribosomal RNA
Source: RNAcentral